Molecule: ribosomal RNA, 156 nt
Filed under: uncultured SAR86 cluster bacterium
Lineage: Bacteria; Pseudomonadati; Pseudomonadota; Gammaproteobacteria
Description: partial 16S ribosomal RNA
Rfam family: Bacterial small subunit ribosomal RNA
Source: RNAcentral
UGUACACACCGCCCGUCAACACCAUGGAAAGUGGAUUGCACCAGAAGUAGAUAGUUCUAACCUUCGGGAGGGCGUUUUACCACGGUGUGCUUCAUGACUGGGGUGAAGUCGUAAACAAGGUAGCCGUAGGGGAACCUGUGGCUGGAUCACCUCCUU